AUGUAUGACAUUGAAUUACAGUUCCUUUUCUUUUGAUAGGAACUUGCAGCUAAUUUGAGGUUGAUUCUGUCAUUUAAACGUCAGCUCGAUGAUGUGCCAUCACAAGCUGAACUCAUUCAGUAUGAACUCCGUUUUUCAGAACUUUAUACUCAUAUCCAGGCCAAGGAUCGUCAAACCCGUAGAUACUAUGCUACUUACAACACAUUGUUGGAGAUAAAAGAAUUGAUGCUAAAGGAAACAUCGUUACUGAACUCCAUACGCUCACAGUUCAAAGAUGCUCUUACUAGCCCUGCUGGUCGAAAGAAAUUAAUUGAUUCAAUGGAAGGAAUUCUGCACGGAACUCAACAGAAGCUGGAAAACGUGCAAAUUGCACUACAGUCGGAGCAGAAAGCUCAUGAAGCUCUCAAGGGGAAAUAUGCAGCUGCAAUUUCAGAGCAAAGGCAUUACAAUUCUAUCUUAAAGGCUUUCCAGAUGUUGCACUUUGAGAAUAUCCAUCUAAACUUCAACUCAUCGAGGGACACAUUUAUUUUGCACCUUUAGAAUGCACCCUGCUAAAGUUUGACUCAUUGAGGGACAAAACAUGGAAACAGAGUAGCAUGUGGACUCUGCAGCUCCGCAUCUCUACAACAGCAGGAUUUGUUGGAUGUGGGCAGGUUUAAUGUUGGUUUUUAAAGAAAGCUAGUCUACCUUCAAAUCCAUAUUUCUGCAAAGCUAAGUGGAAUGUGCAAGGAAUGAAAGACUUCGCAUGCAGACUUCACAAGAACAUUUAACAAGUUGAUAUAUGUAUUUCGGGUUGAAGAAGUGUUCCAUUCUUCAAGAAAUAGGUAGUACUAGAUCUGAGUACCUUCAACUCAUCUGCAAAGUUACCUUGUGUUGGAAAAAAAUUAAUUGAUAAAUCCGCUUAACGUAAUGUAAUGCAAACUAGCUUCUAGCAUUUGAUGCUCUUAAUGUAGUGUGUUUCGUAUUGGGGUGCAGGAUAGGAAUAUUUUCUAAAGAAGUUUCGUUUAUUUGUA
RNA transcript from Lycium ferocissimum, 1013 nucleotides. RefSeq lists it as uncharacterized. The transcript is spliced from 7 exons. Lineage: Eukaryota; Viridiplantae; Streptophyta; Magnoliopsida; Solanales; Solanaceae. The record is from RefSeq and is a predicted model, not a curated record.